AUUGUACUCCCUCCGUCCGGAAAUACUUGUCAUCAAAAUGGAUAAAAGGGGAUGUAUCACUUGUCAUCAAAAUAGAUGAAAAGAGAACUAAAAUACAUCUAGAUACAUCCCCUUUUAUCCAUUUUGAUGACAAGUAUUUCCGGACGGAGGGAGUAGAAC
Triticum aestivum (bread wheat) is the source of this 159-nucleotide non-coding RNA. NCBI's taxonomy places the organism in Eukaryota, Viridiplantae, Streptophyta, Magnoliopsida, Poales, Poaceae. The record is from Rfam.